AUUGAACGCUGGCGGCAUGCCUUACACAUGCAAGUCGAACGGCAGCACUGGAGCAAUCCUGGUGGCGAGUGGCGAACGGGUGAGUAAUAUAUCGGAACGUGCCCAGUCGUGGGGGAUGACGUAGCGAAAGCUACGCUAAUACCGCAUACGAUCUAUGGAUGAAAGCGGGGGAUCGCAAGACCUCGCGCGAGUGGAGCGGCCGAUAUCAGAUUAGGUAGUUGGUGAGGUAAAGGCUCACCAAGCCGACGAUCUGUAGCUGGUCUGAGAGGACGACCAGCCACACUGGGACUGAGACACGGCCCAGACUCCUACGGGAGGCAGCAGUGGGGAAUUUUGGACAAUGGGCGCAAGCCUGAUCCAGCAAUGCCGCGUGCAGGAUGAAGGCCUUCGGGUUGUAAACUGCUUUUGUACGGAGCGAAAAGGCUUCCACUAAUACUGGGGGCUCAUGACGGUACCGUAAGAAUAAGCACCGGCUAACUACGUGCCAGCCGCCGCCGUAA
RNAcentral lists this ribosomal RNA (500 nucleotides) under uncultured bacterium. RNAcentral's name for it is "partial 16S ribosomal RNA". It matches the Rfam family "Bacterial small subunit ribosomal RNA", at positions 30 to 523 of the family's 1533-position model. The record is from RNAcentral.